Tribolium castaneum (red flour beetle) is the source of this 905-nucleotide long non-coding RNA. RefSeq lists it as uncharacterized. The record is from RefSeq and is a predicted model, not a curated record. The transcript is spliced from 2 exons. Lineage: Eukaryota; Metazoa; Arthropoda; Insecta; Coleoptera; Tenebrionidae.
CACAUCAAUCCGGAAAUAUCUAUGAUGUCAUAAUCUAAAUGCAGCCAUGACCUCAUGAUCCAAAAAUUGCAAUGCCAGGAGGGUAAUCCCAUAAUUUUCAAUGUGUGAUUCCCCACGAGAUUUCCAUCCUGACAUCAUGAUUCAAAAAUAACCAUGACAUCAUUAUACAAAAAUAGCACUGACAUCAGGGUAAUCACAUAAUUUUCAAUGCGAGAUUCUCCAAAGUGACGCACGCGCAGACAAAAACAAGCUAUGACAAAAUAAAAUUGACCUAUGAAAUUGGCGGGUUGUCAUCCCUUCCAUUUCAAGUUUGCGUUUACUAAAUAAGUUUCAAUUCUUAUUGGAUGAAUUUUGAGAGGUGGAGCAAAUUAAAGGCAACAAGGGUAAAUUGUAAAUUCUCAUCUUUUUCUAAUAUAGCUUCUUUGUCACAAAACUUCCUAUAUAAACAUAUGGAAACUUCUGCAGAUUUUAUCUUAAGUUAAAUACGAGUUCUUUUCGAGUGACUUAAGUUAGACCUUUAAAAAGAUGAAUAGUCCAAUAAGAAAACCAUCAGCCAGCUUAUGCACUGAGGAUAUGGUGACAUGUGCCUAUAAUAACCUACAUAGGCUAGUAUGGCACAGGAUGGCCAAACACAUUUUUAAGUGUCACAGAGAAGAGGACGCAAAAAGAAAAAGAGAGUCCGAAAAUAAACAAAACGUAGAAGAUCAGACAGAAAGUUGGGAUAACGAAAAUUAUCUUAAUAAAAAUAAACACAACGCCGAAGAUCAGGAAGAAAGUUGGGAUAACGAAAAUUAUCUGACUGAAAAUAAACAAAACGCAGAAGACCAAGAAGCAAGUUGGACUAACGAAAAUUAUCUAACUGAAAAUAAACAAAACGUUAACGAUCAGGAUGAAAGUUGGAAUAA